GGUGAGGUGGCCGAGAGGCUGAAGGCGCUCCCCUGCUAAGGGAGUAUGCGGCCAAAAGCUGCAUCCGGGGUUCGAAUCCCCGCCUCACCGCCA
This 93-nucleotide transfer RNA is filed under the name Enterobacter cloacae. Its description in RNAcentral is "tRNA-Ser". It matches the Rfam family "tRNA". Rfam says of the family: Transfer RNA (tRNA) molecules are approximately 80 nucleotides in length. Their secondary structure includes four short double-helical elements and three loops (D, anti-codon, and T loops). Further hydrogen bonds mediate the characteristic L-shaped molecular structure. tRNAs have two regions of fundamental functional importance: the anti-codon, which is responsible for specific mRNA codon recognition, and the 3' end, to which the tRNAs corresponding amino acid is attached (by aminoacyl-tRNA synthetases). tRNAs cope with the degeneracy of the genetic code in two manners: having more than one tRNA (with a specific anti-codon) for a particular amino acid; and 'wobble' base-pairing, i.e. permitting non-standard base-pairing at the 3rd anti-codon position. The record is from RNAcentral. RNAcentral also lists the same sequence under 6 other names. Lineage: Bacteria; Pseudomonadati; Pseudomonadota; Gammaproteobacteria; Enterobacterales; Enterobacteriaceae.